CAGUCGCCGCGGUAAUACGGAGGGGGCUAGCGUUGUUCGGAAUUACUGGGCGUAAAGCGCACGUAGGCGGCUUGGUAAGUUAGAGGUGAAAGCCCGGAGCUCAACUCCGGAAUUGCCUUUAAGACUGCCGAGCUAGUAGGUGAGAGAGGUAAGUGGAAUUCCGAGUGUAGAGGUGAAAUUCGUAGAUAUUCGGAAGAACACCAGUGGCGAAGGCGGCUCACUGGACGCGUAUUGACGCUGAGGUGCGGAAGCGUGGGGAGCAAACAGGAUUAGAUACCCCCGUAGUCCCUGUCUCUUAUAC
RNAcentral lists this ribosomal RNA (301 nucleotides) under uncultured bacterium. RNAcentral describes it as "partial 16S ribosomal RNA". It matches the Rfam family "Bacterial small subunit ribosomal RNA", at positions 509 to 807 of the family's 1533-position model. The record is from RNAcentral.